This 463-nucleotide ribosomal RNA is filed under the name uncultured bacterium. RNAcentral's name for it is "partial 16S ribosomal RNA". It matches the Rfam family "Bacterial small subunit ribosomal RNA", at positions 330 to 792 of the family's 1533-position model. The record is from RNAcentral.
UCCAGACUCCUACGGGAGGCAGCAGUGGGGAAUAUUGCACAAUGGGGGAAACCCUGAUGCAGCGACGCCGCGUGAGUGAAGAAGUAUUUCGGUAUGUAAAGCUCUAUCAGCAGGGAAGAAAAACCGACCUUAGGGUCGCUAGACGGUACCUGAUUAAGAAGCCCCGGCUAACUACGUGCCAGCAGCCGCGGUAAUACGUAGGUGGCAAGCGUUGUCCGGAUUUACUGGGUGUAAAGGGCGUGUAGCCGGGUUGACAAGUCAGAUGUGAAAUCCUGCGGCUUAACCGCAGAACUGCAUUUGAAACUGUUGAUCUUGAGUACUGGAGGGGCAGACGGAAUUCCUAGUAUAGCGGUGAAAUGCGUAGAUAUUAGGAGGAACACCAGUGGCGAAGGCGGUCUGCUGGACAGCAACUGACGGUGAGGCGCGAAAGCGUGGGGAGCAAACAGGAUUAGAUACCCCGGUA